RNAcentral lists this long non-coding RNA (718 nucleotides) under Mus musculus (house mouse). Its description in RNAcentral is "predicted gene 12381". Lineage: Eukaryota; Metazoa; Chordata; Mammalia; Rodentia; Muridae. The record is from RNAcentral.
AGAAGGAGGAUGUGCGUGAGGGGGUACUUGGAGGAGAGAGGAGGCUGAUAUUGGGAUGUAAAAUGAAUGAAUAAAUACAAUUUUUAAAAUGAUUGUCUUUCUAAGAAUAGUGGAGGGAAAACUCCAUGGAAUCUAUGCACAUGGCUUUAGCAAAGACUCCUAAUAAUAGGGAAUAAGAAGCCUGAACAUUUCUUAUGACCAGCUUCCUGUAAGGAACUUGGGCCAUUGCCAUACUGUCAUCAAAUGAAAACAUAGGAUCACUGACAAAAAAGGCAUCUCUCUAAGGAGGGUCCACUCAGAAGAGCACAGGUCUCAGAAGGAGCAGAGCUUCUGGAACAGUGUCCAGGUCUACAUUUACAGCCAGGAGGUGGAGCUGAUCCUAGGUCCUCUAUGCACCUUGCCUGCCAAAGGAGAGGUUGCCUCAAGGGAGUGCUCUGACCACAGGGCUCAGAUCCCUAUCACAAAGAUCAUCACUCUUCUGCUCCUGGACAAGAAGAAUUCACCAGGACACAGGAAUCAGUUCAACCCCAGCCCAGUGAUACUGUUUCUUCUCCUGUUGCCUGCUGAUCCAGAUGGAGAACUCUCAUCUACUUAUCUAGCACAAUAUCUGCCUACAUGUCACCAUGCCACCAUGUCACCGUGCUUUCUUCCAUGGCUAUAAUGCAAUAAACAUCUGUAACUGUAAGACGAUUCUGAUUAAAUGGUUUUCUUUAUGAAA